Molecule: transfer RNA, 90 nt
Filed under: Pilimelia anulata
Lineage: Bacteria; Bacillati; Actinomycetota; Actinomycetes; Micromonosporales; Micromonosporaceae
Description: tRNA-Ala
Source: RNAcentral
GCCGCUCCCGGAUCGCGUUGCGGUCCGCCGCCGGCGUCGGCGCCGACCGGGUCCGGUAGGCGCGGGUGCGGCACGCCGGCGAGCAGUACC